GACGAACGCUGGCGGCGUGCCUAACACAUGCAAGUCGAACGAGAAAGGGGCUUCGUCUUCGAGUAAAGUGGCGCACCGGUGAGUAACACGUCGGUAACCUGCCUCUCAUAUUGGGAUAACACGUCGAAAGAUGAGCUAAUACCGAACAAGACCACAGUUUCCGCGGUAACAGGGGUCAAAGGUAGCCUCUGCUUGCAAACUAUCACUUAGAGAUGCGCCUGCGGAGCAUUAGCUAGUUGGUAGGGUAACGGCGUACCAAGGCAAAGAUGGGUAGCUGGACUGAGAGGAUGAUCAGCCACACUGGGACUGAGACACGGCCCAGACUCCUACGGGAGGCAGCAGUAGGGAAUAUUGGGCAAUGGGCGAAAGUUUGACCGAGCAACGCCGCGUGAGUGAUGAAGGUCUUCGGGUCGUAAAGCUCUGUCGGGAGGGAAGAACGCUGCUGAGGUUGGCAGGCUCGGGAAGUGACGGUAACUUCCAAGGAAGCAACGGCUAACUCCGUG
This 503-nucleotide ribosomal RNA is filed under the name uncultured bacterium. Its description in RNAcentral is "partial 16S ribosomal RNA". It matches the Rfam family "Bacterial small subunit ribosomal RNA", at positions 28 to 507 of the family's 1533-position model. The record is from RNAcentral.